CCUACGGGUGGCAGCAGUGGGGAAUAUUGCACAAUGGGCGCAAGCCUGAUGCAGCCAUGCCGCGUGUGUGAAGAAGGCCUUCGGGUUGUAAAGCACUUUCAGCGGGGAGGAAGGCGGUGAGGUUAAUAACCUCAUCGAUUGACGUUACCCGCAGAAGAAGCACCGGCUAACUCCGUGCCAGCAGCCGCGGUAAUACGGAGGGUGCAAGCGUUAAUCGGAAUUACUGGGCGUAAAGCGCACGCAGGCGGUCUGUCAAGUCGGAUGUGAAAUCCCCGGGCUCAACCUGGGAACUGCAUUCGAAGCUGGCAGGCUAGAGUCUUGUAGAGGGGGGUAGAAUUCCAGGUGUAGCGGUGAAAUGCGUAGAGAUCUGGAGGAAUACCGGUGGCGAAGGCGGCCCCCUGGACAAAGACUGACGCUCAGGUGCGAAAGCGUGGGGAGCAAACAGGAUUAGAUACCCGAGUAGUC
This 465-nucleotide ribosomal RNA is filed under the name uncultured Klebsiella sp. RNAcentral's name for it is "bacterial SSU rRNA". It matches the Rfam family "Bacterial small subunit ribosomal RNA", at positions 338 to 795 of the family's 1533-position model. The record is from RNAcentral. Lineage: Bacteria; Pseudomonadati; Pseudomonadota; Gammaproteobacteria; Enterobacterales; Enterobacteriaceae.